AAUACAUCGGAACGUGUCCUUAAGUGGGGAAUAACGCAUCGAAAGAUGUGCUAAUACCGCAUAUCUCUGAGGAGAAAAGCAGGGGAUCGCAAGACCUUGCGCUAAAGGAGCGGCCGAUGUCUGAUUAGCUAGUUGGUGGGGUAAAGGCUUACCAAGGCAACGAUCAGUAGUUGGUCUGAGAGGACGGCCAACCACACUGGGACUGAGACACGGCCCAGACUCCUACGGGAGGCAGCAGUGGGGAAUUUUGGACAAUGGGCGAAAGCCUGAUCCAGCCAUGCCGCGUGAGUGAAGAAGGCCUUCGGGUUGUAAAGCUCUUUUAGUCGGAAAGAAAGAGUUGCAAUGAAUAAUUGUGAUUUAUGACGGUACCGACAGAAAAAGCACCGGCUAACUACGUGCCAGCAGCCGCGGUAAUACGUAGGGUGCGAGCGUUAAUCGGAAUUACUGGGCGUAAAAGGGGUGCGCAGGCGGUCUUGCAAGUCAGAUGUGAAAGC
RNAcentral lists this ribosomal RNA (494 nucleotides) under uncultured bacterium. Its description in RNAcentral is "bacterial SSU rRNA". It matches the Rfam family "Bacterial small subunit ribosomal RNA", at positions 112 to 601 of the family's 1533-position model. The record is from RNAcentral.